Phascolarctos cinereus (koala) is the source of this 5032-nucleotide non-coding RNA. NCBI's taxonomy places the organism in Eukaryota, Metazoa, Chordata, Mammalia, Diprotodontia, Phascolarctidae. The record is from RefSeq and is a predicted model, not a curated record.
GAAAGAAGACUGUCCUUCCCUUUUACUAAAGUACAAGGACAGGCCUUAGCAAAAUUUGGCAACAAGUAAUUUACCUUUGACCACUUCCUGCUUCUCUUUCUGUGCCCUGUUAAAGCGUGACUUCUCCCCAGUUUUUUCUCUUUUCCUUCUUCUCUUUUUCUGUGUUCAUUCCCAAAACUGAGCCACAGUUUCUGAAGGAAUGAUUAAUUUGCCAGUGGACACCUUCAGAGGUAGAAAAAUUUCCUGGAAUGGAUAGAGAUCUCUGAACAGUCUCCUUUCUCGCAGAGUAGAUAAAUGUCCUCUUGCCCUGUUACCUUCUCUCUCCCAUGGGUCUAAGAAUACCAACCAGUAGGAAAGCUAAAGGAAGUAGGAGAAGACUUCCUUUGUCAAGCCCCUCAGAUGGGAUCAAGAGGGAUUAGUGGGAAAACAUUACUGCACUUUUCUAACACAAAAUAUCUGUUUUGGGUUUUAUUUUAUUCUUUGCUUUAAUUACGCAGUAAAACUUUACAUAACACUGUCUCAGUUGAAUUAAGGGACGAAGGAUUAGAGAAUGUCCUGGGCAAAAAGAGAAGACAUUAGUUGGCAUUUGUGAUGUGUCACGUGAUCAUGCUAAUUGCAAUAUGGGUUUUUUAAAAAUAAAUGCAAAAUAUGGAAUGAUGUCUAAUGUUUAGAACAAGGUAAGUGGAUUUUAAAAGUUUUAUUCAAAACCUGAAUUUUAAACUGAACCAUAGUUGCCGUUUUAAGAUGACAUAAGAUUGAAGUGGAAAUGAUACAGAAAUGUAUUUGCCUGAAAGAUCAGUAGGAGAGAGAUCAUAAAAACAUCUGUAUGCAUGUGUCCUUGGUGCAUCUUUCUCAAAAAAUGCCUUGAAGCUGAUGAUGAACAUGUGGAACAAUUACUUUCUUAAGUUAGGAGCUAGAAUAGCCUAUUCUAACUUAACAUUAAGAAUAAGUAUCAGUUACUGGGGGGGGAGGGGGAGAAGAGAACAGGUCAAGGGUUAGACUGACACUGGAGCAUUGAGGUACAAAGGUGGAAGUUUUUCACUGCGUCACAACAUUUCUUUAUAUGUGUCUUGUUCUUUUCCUAGUAUCUCUCCCUACACUUCCUUAAGUUUCUCAAUAUUCUCUUUAUCUAGGUUUUCCCUAUUCCACAUAGUGUUCAGUGCCCCUAAAUUACCAACCUCCCCUCCCCCAACCAAAAUUCCCAUUUAAUUAAAUCCUGACACCAGAGAAUUCAUUCGUUUAAAAAAUAAUACUGGUCAGAAGUCAUGAAUAAUAUAAUGGAACCAAAACUGCGUUUGGAGUCAGAGGACCUGAGCUUAAAAUACAAAUUUGCCACUGAUCACCUGCGUGAACUUGGACAACCUUCCUUGGACAAGUAAUUUCUUUCUCAGCCUCAGUUUUCUCAUCUGUAAAAUGAAGAGAAUGGUUAGGUUCUGAGAUGCUUUACAGCUCUAAAUUAUGAUGCCAAAUAAAGUUUAAGGAAAUUUGAAUUUUUGAAUAAGAGAUGGGACGUAAGUAAUUCAAGGGGCACAGACUACUUUGCUGAGUAAAGCAGCCCUAGAUGGGGAUAGGGAGAAAGAGAGAUGGGUGUCACACUGAGGGGCAUAGAGUAGGGGAGAGAGCCAUGCACUAAUGGAUGGGAGAGGUGUGUGUGAAGAAACCUUCUUGAUAGAACUUAGAGUUGUUCUGCUUGACCCUAAAGGGCAGAACUAAGUCGAGUGGGUGGGUAUUACAGAGAGACAGUCUUCAGUUCACUGUACUCAAACUGUUCAAAAAUGAAAUGAGCCACCUUGGGAGGAAAUGAGGUCUUUGUGACUGAAGCUCAUCAAGCAAAGUAUGGAUGACCGUGUCCAGAAUAUUGUGCAGAGGAUUCUUGUUUAGGGAAAGGUUGGACUGGGUGAGUACUGAUGUUCUCUAGUCCUGUUUCUGAAUGUAAUGGAUUUGCUAAUAAUCUGCUGUAGCACAGAUAAAAUGGUAUAAAUGAAAAAUAAUGUUGCAUCAGGACAGAGACUGAGUCCCUUCUCCAUUUGUUUUGUACUUUGUAUCUAAAACCUAGAUCCCACUUGCUUCCAACACGUCCAGAUCCUGACUGGGGUUCUUAUGAGGCUCACUUGAGUUGUUAGGAACACAGAACAUUAGCUCACAACAAUCUUAUGAGAUAAGUACAGGUACCGUCACCUCAAUUUUACAAAUGAGGAAAUGGGUACAGAGACGCAAAGAGGCCCCAAGUCCCACAGCUAGUAAGUGGCAGAGCCAGAACUCAAACUCAAAUCUUCUGGCUCCAAGACUAAUGUUCUACGUCAUACUUCCUCUUUAUUGGUCUAAUGAGAGUCACUCUGGUAAAAGACUAACUUCCUCCCCUACCUCCUUUCUCCAAGAUGAUUUCUAAUCUAUAGGGCUGAUCAGAAGUUACUUAGCAGUUUAACAACCUUCCUUUUCCUGGCAGUCACCAGAGAAGGCCCACACAUCGUGAUUUAUAGCAACUAUGGUUCUGUGAAUCAUUUCCCCUCCGUAAGUUAUAGUUUGAGAGGCCCAUAGAUUGUUAGGUUUAGAGCUGAAAGGACCUUUUGAGAUUUUCUAAUUUGAUCCUCUCAUUUUAUAGAAGAGGAAACAGACCUACAGAAGUUCACUUGCCCAAGGCCAAAUACCUUGGAAAUGGAGAUAGAACUGGAAGCCUGUAAAAUGAGGGAUUGGACUAGAUGAAUUCUAAGAUCUUGUGAUCUCACUUUGCCAAUCCAAUGAUGACUUAAAAUAUGCAAAGCAUAGUGCUAAGUGCUGGGGAUACAGGUGGAAAAGCAGGGCAGUCCCUGUUCUCAGUGUGCAAUAGGUGCUUCUAAAAGGUGAAGGUAUCAACUGCAAGUCUGAUGGAAAGACAUAAUGGUUCUAAGGAUGCAGUAGUAAAGCACGUGUGUUAGGGAUCUGUAAGGAUGUAGAGGGCCACAGAUGGUUCAUGAGAUCUCACUGAAGGGCUGAGGCCCCUCUUGGGUGCUGGUCUGUGAGCAAGGUUGCCUGGUUCGGUGCUGCAUCCUAUGUCUCUUUAAUUUCCCUAGUUACUUAUGAGUCAUUAACAGUAUAUUUGUGAUUGGUGGUAGGUAAGUGCACAGACUGUGCAUGCACUGUCCUUGAGCACAGCAUGGGUUAUAUGUCAUUGUAACAUGAGACAGAGUUCUUGUUAUCUUACUAUAUAAGUGAGUGCUUUGCUAAAAAUAAACGGAGCUGCUGCCAUCUUGUCUCCCGCCUUAUCAGUGUGCAUUCCAGAUAGAAGAUCAAGCUGGUCUUGAUUCUUCAGGUGAUUGGGAAACCCUAGGUCCUAGGUACGCUCUGUACCCGAGUGAGCUGGUCACGACAAACUGGUGCCCAAUGUGGGGCCCCCUUUGUAGUCUGAAGACUGAAGGGCAGGCAGCGGGAGGAAGCUGAGAAAACAACCCACGAUCCCCAACGUGGGGCCCCCUUUAGCCUGAAGAGUGAAGGGCAGUACAGGACAGAAAACAGAGAAAACAACCCACGGUCAGGACACCGAGGUCUUUGGGAAGCCAGGCAGCCUCCUUGUGAGAGGUCUCCAAAUUGUAUCCUGUGGCAGAAGACUACAGAGAGGUGAUGGAGAACCCUGGGUUAGAACGAAGGAUGUCCGCAUUAUCCAUUCAGAAGGAACAAGGAAAGCAGAAAAGAAAACACAGGCCGGCCAGGAAUUGAAGGAGUCGAAAGAAUAAGAAGAAGGCACUACACAAACUUGUAACCAAGCUGUGACUCUUGUCGUUAUUGUCGGCAGUGGUACAAAACACAGCAGCAGAGACAGGAAAUACAACAAGAUGGACUUUUGUGACAAAACUGCCAUGGCUAAGACUGGUUACAUGGGGAGAGAUACAACCUGAGGUUAUUUUACAAGGGAAUGCAUCUGCAGGAUUGGGGAAGGAAUUUAAUUUUACACCUCAAAAGAAUGGGUCAAUUACAGUAAAGUUUAGUUUUCAAAGAUUGGUAUGAGUCAUGUUCUGAUCAUAUUUUUGGAAUAAUGGACCAAAAGAAAUCAAUUAGCAAUUGUUUGGAAGAAGAGAUGUAUUUCAUAUGUAGUAUUAGGAAUUGUUUUGCUUGUAGCUAUCAUAACUGCUUCUGUAUCUUUAUCCUACUCUAUAUCUAUAGCAAGAAAUGAAAUGGUUCAAGCUGAUUUUAUGAAUCAAUUAGCUCACAAUGUAUCAAAGGGUUUUCAAGCACAAAAAAGGAUAGAUGAGGGAUUUUACCACAUACUUGAGGGAAUGAAGGAAACCAUUAUCGAAAUAGGUGAUGAAUUGGAUAUUUUAGAAUAUAGAACACAUUUGAAAUGUGAUUAUAGGUAUGAAUUUAUUUGUCUUACCAAUGUUAAAUAUAACAACUCCCAAUGGGAUUGGCAAAGAAUACGUAGACAUCUGAAUGGGCUGUUUGGGAAUUCUACUGUUGCAUUGAAUAUUGAUGAUUUAUACAAAAUUGCUGAUGAUAUUGUGAAGGCGGCUGAUGAAGAUUUGAUGCCAGAUAAAACUGCCCAACAUAUACUUGAUUGGCUAGAUAAACUCGAUAACCCUUUUGAUAACCUUGGACACUGGCUUAUGUCUUUAUUAUCUUCUUUAUUGCCAUUAUGUUUGCUAUUGCUGGCCAUGCUGUGUUUUGGACUGUGUUUGCUCAGAUGCAUAGCUAAUCAGAUUAAGGACUUUGGGACUGAGCUUCAUAUGCUCUGUCUCCAGGAAAAACAAAAAGGGGGAAUUGUUAGGGAACUGUAAGGAUGUAGAGGGCCACAGACAGUUCAUGAGGUCUCACUGAAGGGCUGAGGCCCCUCUCGGGUGCUGGUCCACGAACAAGGUUGCCUGGUUUCGUGCUCCGUCCUAUGUCUCUUUAAUUUCCCUAGUUACUUAUGAGUCAUUAACAGUAUAUUUGUGAUUGGUGGUAGGUAAGUGCACAGACUGUGCAUGCACUGUCCUUGAGCACAGCAUGGGUUAUACGUCAUUAUAACAUGAGACAGAGUUCUUGUUAUUUUACUAUAUAAGUGAGUGCUUUGCUAAAAAUA